GGUGCUGCUGGCAGCGGCGCCGCGGAGCAGCUAGGGGGCGGGAGGAGCGGAGCGGAGCGGAGCGAGCCCUCUGCUGGCUGCUGCGCAGGAGCAGAAGGGAUUUUAAUGUCUGAAGAGGGAGAGAAAUGAAUCAGCAAAUUAUGCUGGAGAUGGAAGACAGACACCAUACAGCAAGAGCAAACGUCAGAGCAGGGAGGCCAACACUGGAGCAAGCAUUAUCCAGCAGGUUCUUCGCCUUACGUUCUGAUUUGCCUCCCCCAGUCUACCAGCAGCAACCAGGUGACGAAGGAAUUUAAAGUGCUUACAUGCCACCAAAUACCUAUCUGGAAGGACAAUCUCUCAGAAUACAAGAGUGCUGUGGAACUGCUCAUCCAAUUCUUGGAAAAGACUAUCUGCAGAGGUAGGAGGGUGAAUAUCCAACCUGGGCUUUGUGCUGUGGGUAGCCGAUCUCUCUCUUGUAGGGGAGAGCAGGGAAGGAACUGAUCAGGAAUGGCAGAAGGUCUCUAAAAGUGUAUGUGGGGCACUGGCACUUGAACUGUGGGCCUAUCCCUGUGCCGCCCCUGCCCCCACACCAACCCUUCCCCCUAGGCUCCUCUCUGUCUGUAAAAAGUGGGAGGACCAUGGCCUCUUGACCCCCCUCCUGUUCUGGCUUACUUGGAACUGAUCCAAAAGACACUUAGCUUGUAAAACUUUUUUUCUUUUUUUAAGUGGAGACCUCCCUCUUGGGGAAACCAGUGAUGUGUCUCCUACACAGCA
This is a long non-coding RNA of Dermochelys coriacea (leatherback sea turtle), 756 nucleotides long. RefSeq lists it as uncharacterized. NCBI's taxonomy places the organism in Eukaryota, Metazoa, Chordata, Testudines, Dermochelyidae. The transcript is spliced from 3 exons. The record is from RefSeq and is a predicted model, not a curated record.